CAAAACCCUAGCCCAUGUAAACGACUUCCUUAAUCCAACUGCCAUGAUCAUGAUCCUGAACUGUUGCCGCCCGUUUCUGUAAUUUAAGCAUCAAAUUAUGCACAGUUUUCCUUUCAAAUUAUUGAAUAAUUUGAAAGGAAAACCGUGCUUAAUCCUCUGGCUUCGGCAAACAUAGGCAAAGAAAAAUUUUAAAAAAAAUUCAGAGAUAUAUAUAUCUCACUUUAUUAUUCCAUGCAUGCAAUGGAUCAUCCAAUCCCAUUUCCAGGCAUGCUUCUUUGGGAUGCUCGCGGCGAAAACACUGGCUUUGAAACCCAAGACUACCCGCAAAAUUACUGAUGCAUCGACAAGAACUGCGGCCGAAAAGGAGCCUCCAAUUCCCAAGCAGAAGCGAGUGUUUGGUACCAUUCGAAGCACAAACAUUCAUGUCAAAACAGCAACCGAAAAUCCAAUUACCAAGCAACCCAAAUCUAUAACAAUAAGAGGAAAUCCUAGCAUAAAUGUCACAACCGAUCAAGUUGCCAAGAAACCAGAAAGAUUCAAGAAGAAAGUACAGAAGCCCGAGAAAAGGUUCGGCCGAGUCUUUUGGAGCCUAGGACUCCGGUGGCUUCACAUUCUAUGAUUGAGAACAAAGUUGCAGCAGGCACCCCUUAUCAUAGUGCAAAGUAUUGUAGCAAAUGCAGGUUUGAUAAGCUUGAAACUGCUUCUUGUUGGCUUGGUCAGAUCAAGUUGGCUGAAUCAGUCGGCAAACAUUUCGUCCCUAUUGCCUUAAUUCGUUUGCCUUCGAUUCCAAUGUUGGCUGAAUCAGUCGGCAAACAUCUCGUUUCUGUUGCCUUCUUUCGUCUUGCCUUCGAUUCCAAUGUUGGCAGUUAUCCCCCCCCCCCCCCCCCCCCCCAUCAUUUUCUUCUUCGAACUUCAUUAAUUUCUACUGCCUUGCUUGAUUUUAUUGUACUAAAAUUUGAAUAAUGUUUAUUUGUUAGCCCAUAAGGAACCUUCGUGCUGAGCUGAAACGAUACAUGGGACGACAUGGGUACCUGUCUUACGAGGCAGAGUGGAAAGAAGUCAGUCGCAGCUAUGGAAUUUUGAAGGAUGAAAGCAAUGUAGGAGGUGAAAGUUUAGAACUUGGAAAAGGGAAGACAACUUGUAGAUAAAGGGAGUGAUCAAGGAACAAAAAGCUGUUUAAAUUUGCAGGGACAUCAACCUUAAUUAGCAAUGCUUUGAUUUGAAAUUCUACAAACCAAGAGCAAGAAGAUGGGGUCCUCACUGGCUCCGUCAAAGGAGAUGGAAGUGGUGCUGGCUCUUGAAGUGCAGUCCAUUCGAGCGCCAGCAGCAGAGGUUUUGAUGGUAUCAAGGGAGAAAAAAAACUGCAAGCCAAGAACCAAUAGGUCAAGAGCUAAAAUGUUCAGCCUGGCCUUAAUUAUAAAAGAAAAGAAAAAAAAGAAACAGGGAGGAUAUGCAGUUUACAUAUUAAAUUUUAAAAAAAAAAUCCGAUAAUUAUCCUUGUGCUCAUCAAAAUUAUCUUCUCAUCAUAGUUACUGGCAUUUGUUAGCUUU
Molecule: long non-coding RNA, 1550 nt
Organism: Populus trichocarpa (black cottonwood)
Lineage: Eukaryota; Viridiplantae; Streptophyta; Magnoliopsida; Malpighiales; Salicaceae
Exons: 4
Source: RefSeq, a predicted model, not a curated record